AUGAGGGCCACAUGCACGUUUCUGAUGAGGGCCACAUGCACGUUUCUGAUGAGGGCCACAUGCACGUUUCUGAUGAGGGCCACAUGCACGUUUCUGAUGAGGGCCACAUGCACGUUUCUGAUGAGGGCCACAUGCACGUUUCUGAUGAGGGCCACAUGCACGUUUCUGAUGAGGGCCACAUGCACGUUUCUGAUGAGGGCCACAUGCACGUUUCUGAUGAGGGCCACAUGCACGUUUCUGAUGAGGGCCACAUGCACGUUUCUGAUGAGGGCCACAUGCACGUUUCUGAUGAGGGCCACGUGCACGUUUCUGAUGAGGGCCACGUGCACGUUUCUGAUGAGGGCCACGUGCACGUUUCUGAUGAGGGCCACGUGCACGUUUCUGAUGAGGGCCACGUGCACGUUUCUGAUGAGGGCCACGUGCACGUUUCUGAUGAGGGCCACGUGCACGUUUCUGAUGAGGGCCACGUGCACGUUUCUGAUGAGGGCCACGUGCACGUUUCUGAUGAGGGCCACGUGCACGUUUCUGAUGAGGGCCACGUGCACGUUUCUGAUGAGGGCCACGUGCACGUUUCUGAUGAGGGCCACGUGCACGUUUCUGAUGAGGGCCACGUGCACGUUUCUGAUGAGGGCCACGUGCACGUUUCUGAUGAGGGCCACGUGCACGUUUCUGAUGAGGGCCACGUGCACGUUUCUGAUGAGGGCCACGUGCACGUUUCUGAUGAGGGCCACGUGCACGUUUCUGAUGAGGGCCACGUGCACGUUUCUGAUGAGGGCCACGUGCACGUUUCUGAUGAGGGCCACGUGCACGUUUCUGAUGAGGGCCACGUGCACGUUUCUGAUGAGGGCCACGUGCACGUUUCUGAUGAGGGCCACGUGCACGUUUCUGAUGAGGGCCACGUGCACGUUUCUGAUGAGGGCCACGUGCACGUUUCUGAUGAGGGCCACGUGCACGUUUCUGAUGAGGGCCACGUGCACGUUUCUGAUGAGGGCCACGUGCACGUUUCUGAUGAGGGCCACGUGCACGUUUCUGAUGAGGGCCACGUGCACGUUUCUGAUGAGGGCCACGUGCACGUUUCUGAUGAGGGUCACGUGCACGUUUCUGAUGAGGGUCACGUGCACAUUUCUGAUGAGGGCCACGUGCACGUUUAUGAUGAGGGUCACGUCCCCGUUUCUGAUGAGGGUCACGUGCACGUUUCUGAUGAGGGCCACGUGCCCGUUUCUGAUGAGGGUCACGUGCACGUUUCUGAUGAGGGCCACGUGCACAUUUCUGAUUAGGGUCACGUGCACGUUUCUGAUGAGGGUCACGUGCGCAUUUCUGAUGAGGGCCACGUCCCCGUUUCUGAGGGCCACAUGCACGUUUUUGAUGAGGGUCACAUGCACGUUUCUGAUGAGGGCCACGUGCACGUUUCUGAUGAGGGCCAUGUGCCCGUUUCUGAUGAGGGUCACGUGCACGUUUCUGAUGAGGGCCACAUGCACGUUUCUGAUGAGGGCCACGUGCCCGUUUCCGAUGAGGGUCACGUGCACGUUUCUGAUUAGGGCCACAUGCACAUUUCUGGUUAGGGCCACGUGCACGUUUCUGAUGAGGGUCAAGUGCCCAUUUCUGAUUAGGGUCACGUGCACGUUUCUGAUUAGGGCCAUGUGCACGUUUCUGAUUAGAGUUACGUGCACAUUUCUGAUUAGGGCCACAUGCACGUUUCUGAUUAGGGCUCCAUGCACGUUUCUGAUUAGGGUCACGUGCACGUUUCUGAUGAGGGCCACAUGCACGUUUCUGAUGAGGGCCCAUGCACAUUUCUGA
Nothobranchius furzeri (turquoise killifish) is the source of this 1797-nucleotide long non-coding RNA. Lineage: Eukaryota; Metazoa; Chordata; Actinopteri; Cyprinodontiformes; Nothobranchiidae. The record is from Ensembl.